RNAcentral lists this ribosomal RNA (463 nucleotides) under uncultured bacterium. RNAcentral's name for it is "partial 16S ribosomal RNA". It matches the Rfam family "Bacterial small subunit ribosomal RNA", at positions 28 to 507 of the family's 1533-position model. The record is from RNAcentral.
GACGAACGCUGGCGGCACGCCUAACACAUGCAAGUCGAACGGACUGAAAAGAGCUUGCUUUUUUAAGCUAGUGGCGGACGGGUGAGUAACACGUGAGCAACCUGCCUCUGAGAGGGGGAUAGCUUCUGGAAACGGAUGGUAAUACCCCAUAAAAUAUAAAUAUCGCAUGAUAGAUAUAUCAAAGAAAUUCGCUCAGAGAUGGGCUCGCGUCUGAUUAGAUAGUUGGUGAGGUAACGGCUCACCAAGUCGACGAUCAGUAGCCGGACUGAGAGGUUGAACGGCCACAUUGGGACUGAGACACGGCCCAGACUCCUACGGGAGGCAGCAGUGGGGAAUAUUGCACAAUGGAGGGAACUCUGAUGCAGCGAUGCCGCGUGGAGGAAGAAGGUUUUCGGAUUGUCAACUCCUUUUAUCAGGGACGAUAAUGACGGUACCUGAAGAAAAAGCUCCGGCUAACUACGUG